Molecule: ribosomal RNA, 253 nt
Filed under: uncultured bacterium
Lineage: Bacteria
Description: partial 16S ribosomal RNA
Rfam family: Bacterial small subunit ribosomal RNA
Source: RNAcentral
UACGUAGGUGGCAAGCGUUGUCCGGAAUCAUUGGGCGUAAAGCGCGUGUAGGCGGCCCGGUAAGUCCGCUGUGAAAGUCGGGGGCUCAACCCUCGAAAGCCGGUGGAUACUGUCGGGCUCGAGUGCGGAAGAGGCGAGUGGAAUUCCUGGUGUAGCGGUGAAAUGCGCAGAUAUCAGGAGGAACACCGAUUGCGAAGGCAGCUCGCUGGGACGUUACUGACGCUGAGACGCGAAAGCGUGGGGAGCAAACAGG